This 428-nucleotide ribosomal RNA is filed under the name uncultured prokaryote. Its description in RNAcentral is "bacterial SSU rRNA". It matches the Rfam family "Bacterial small subunit ribosomal RNA", at positions 355 to 774 of the family's 1533-position model. The record is from RNAcentral.
UCGAGAAUCUUUAGCAAUGGGGGAAACCCUGACUAUGCGACGCCGCGUGAGGGAUGAAGGUCUUCGGAUUGUAAACCUCUUUCGACCGGAAAGAAUGUCUUCGGUGCUAACAGUACCGAGGAUUGACGGUACCGGGAGAAGAAGCCACGGCCAACUCCGUGCCAGCAGCCGCGGUAAUACGGAGGUGGCGAGCGUUACUCGGAUUUAUUGGGUGUAAAGGGCAGGUAGGUGGCCUGACAAGUGGGAAGUGAAAUCCUGCGGCUUAAUCGCAGAACAGCUUUCCAAACUAUCGGGCUUGAGUGUGAGAGAGGGGAAUGGAACUCCUGGUGUAGAGGUGAAAUUCGUAGAGAUCAGGAGGAACACCAUUGGCGAAGGCGAUUCCCUGGAUCACAACUGACACUGAGCUGCGAAAGUUAGGGGAGAGAACA